Molecule: small nuclear RNA, 107 nt
Filed under: Ursus americanus (American black bear)
Lineage: Eukaryota; Metazoa; Chordata; Mammalia; Carnivora; Ursidae
Source: RNAcentral
GUGCUCAUUUCAGCAGCACAUAUACUAAAAUUGGAACAAUACAGAGAAGAUUAGCACGGCCUGUGCGCAAGGAUGACAUGCAAAUUCAUGAAGUGUUCCAUAUUUAA